This is a non-coding RNA of Podarcis lilfordi (Lilford's wall lizard), 71 nucleotides long. NCBI's taxonomy places the organism in Eukaryota, Metazoa, Chordata, Lepidosauria, Squamata, Lacertidae. The record is from the annotation of a GenBank genome assembly.
GGGUCAUAGCUCAGAGGUAGAGCAUCUGCUUUGCAUGCAGAAGGUCUCAGGUUCAGUCCUUGGCAUCUCCA